GAUGAACGCUGGCGGCGUGCCUAAUACAUGCAAGUCGAGCGAACGGACGAGAAGCUUGCUUCUCUGAUGUUAGCGGCGGACGGGUGAGUAACACGUGGAUAACCUACCUAUAAGACUGGGAUAACUUCGGGAAACCGUAGCUAAUACCGGAUAAUAUUUUGAACCGCAUGGUUCAAAAGUGAAAGACGGUCUUGCUGUCACUUAUAGAUGGAUCCGCGCUGCAUUAGCUAGUUGGUAAGGUAACGGCUUACCAAGGCAACGAUGCAUAGCCGACCUGAGAGGGUGAUCGGCCACGCUGGAACUGAGACACGGUCCAGACUCCUACGGGAGGCAGCAGUAGGGAAUCUUCCGCAAUGGGCGCAAGCCUGACGGAGCAACGCCGCGCGAGUGAUGAAGGUCUUCGGAUCGUAAAACUCUGUUAUUAGGGAAGAACAUAUGUGUAAGUAACUGUGCACAUCUUGACGGUACCUAAUCAGAAAGCCACGGCUAACUACGUG
RNAcentral lists this ribosomal RNA (497 nucleotides) under uncultured bacterium. RNAcentral's name for it is "partial 16S ribosomal RNA". It matches the Rfam family "Bacterial small subunit ribosomal RNA", at positions 28 to 507 of the family's 1533-position model. The record is from RNAcentral.